GACGAACGCUGGCGGCGUGCCUAACACAUGCAAGUCGAGCGAAUGAAGUUCCUUCGGGAAUGGAUUUAGCGGCGGACGGGUGAGUAACACGUGGGCAACCUGCCUCAUAGAGGGGAAUAGCCUUCCGAAAGGGAGAUUAAUACCGCAUAAGAUUGUAGUACCGCAUGAUACAGCAAUUAAAGGAGCAAUCCGCUAUGAGAUGGGCCCGCGGCGCAUUAGCUAGUUGGCGAGGUAACGGCUCACCAAGGCGACGAUGCGUAGCCGACCUGAGAGGGUGAUCGGCAACAUUGGGACUGAGACACGGCCCAGACUCCUACGGGAGGCAGCAGUGGGGAAUAUUGCACAAUGGGGGAAACCCUGAUGCGGCAACGCCGCGUGAGUGAUGACGGCCUUCGGGUUGUAAAGCUCUGUCUUCAGGGACGAUAAUGACGGUACCUGAGGAGGAAGCCACGGCUAACUACGUGCCAGCAGCCGCCGUAA
This 480-nucleotide ribosomal RNA is filed under the name uncultured bacterium. Its description in RNAcentral is "partial 16S ribosomal RNA". It matches the Rfam family "Bacterial small subunit ribosomal RNA", at positions 28 to 523 of the family's 1533-position model. The record is from RNAcentral.